AAGUCGUAACAAGGUAUCCGUAGGUGAACCUGCGGAUGGAUCAUUAACGUUCUAUUUGAUAUAGAAAAUAUAAAAGAAGGGGACAUUGUCAGUAAUGAUGGUGUCCCUCUACUUUAUUAUUCUUCUUUUCAAAUAACAACACGUACACCCUUGUGGUGAAUAUAGGAAUUAAGAUUUCUAGUGAGCAAGUGAUGAUUAUAUAUUGUCAUAGCGAGCUAGGAUCUCUUGAUUAUAAACGCUAUUGUUUACAUUUAUUAAGACUAAAGUUUACCUUGUGAAGCGUUGCACCCUGUGUGUAAUGGUUACCAAGUAAAACAAUUAAUAAAUCUAAUACAACUGCUAGCAACGGAUCACUCGGCUCUC
This 363-nucleotide unclassified non-coding RNA is filed under the name Syncephalis sp. Its description in RNAcentral is "partial internal transcribed spacer region". The stretch from base 1 to 46 matches the Rfam family "Eukaryotic small subunit ribosomal RNA", at positions 1786 to 1831 of the family's 1831-position model. The record is from RNAcentral. Lineage: Eukaryota; Fungi; Zoopagomycota; Zoopagomycetes; Zoopagales; Piptocephalidaceae.